GCCAGGAGUUCCUCGCUGUGGGCUCCCCACUGGGCGCGGCGCGGCGCGGGGCGGGGCGGGGCGGGCAGGAUGCCAGGCGCACUCGGGGGGUGCAGGAGAACCUCCUUGAUGACCUUUUCUCUCCCCGAGGGUCUGCCCUUCCCUGCUUUGGGGUCAGGCCACCCAGGAUUGGCCGACCUCGGGUUUUGUCCCGUAGGGUGUGUGUGUGUCGUCUGGGAGGUGGCAGUGAUGGUGGUAUCCACACACAGGGUCGGUGUGAGUCAUAAAGGGGUUGCGUAAGGGACAGGAGCUUAGUGAACAUUGUAAGGCUUAGAAGGAGGAUCCCUGCUGGGAGAUCAGCCUGCAGCGGACUUCCCCGCCGGGAGUCGUACUUGCUGUCCCGACUUCUGCUCCACUUAGGCUUGAAAGCGAUGUUGUACAACACUGGGAAGACUUCAAAAGAGAAACAGGGUCACACAGAGAGAGAGAGAGAGAGGCAGAGACAUAGGCAGAGGGAGAAGCAGG
Molecule: long non-coding RNA, 504 nt
Organism: Canis lupus familiaris (dog)
Lineage: Eukaryota; Metazoa; Chordata; Mammalia; Carnivora; Canidae
Exons: 3
Source: RefSeq, a predicted model, not a curated record